AAGGGAGUAAUUUAGAUUCUUUGAAUCUCAAACAAUGCAAAGCCUAUUUGCGAACGGACGGUCUUAGAAUUUCAGGAACCAAAUUGGUUUGUUUACAAAGAGUUGAAGAGCACCGGAGGCCGUGGAAAACUGAAGUUAUCUCAAAGAAAGACUUGGCAAGAGUGUAGCUGGAAGUAUCAAAGAGUAAGGCAAAAGAUUGACAGAUGACAUGUUUAAAGACGGCCUGAACCUGCAUAAAUUGGUCAGAUAAGGCUUUGGCCUCCUUAUCCUAUUGGAUGGUGAUCAGAGCCGAGUCUUCUAGCCAUCCCGGUCAGCCAGCUUUUGAGCAAGCACUUGGAGCCUAUUAUUGAAGAGGAGCUUUUGAACGAGCACAUGGACACUAUUGAAGAGGUUUGACAUGUAAAACAAGAAACUUUCAACUAUGUAAUCUUUUUGUUUACUGAUAAUCUGUAUCAAUGUGCUUUGUUUAGUGUAAGAUUCGGCUUUGAUUAUCCAACA
Long non-coding RNA from Rosa chinensis, 498 nucleotides. RefSeq lists it as uncharacterized. Lineage: Eukaryota; Viridiplantae; Streptophyta; Magnoliopsida; Rosales; Rosaceae. The transcript is spliced from 4 exons. The record is from RefSeq and is a predicted model, not a curated record.